UUUCAGAUUUUGUUUUUCUGCAAUUUGUAGGCGACGCUGGAGCCUUGCAGUCCAUUGGCUCGGGGGAGAGCAGUGGAGAGGACACACGUGCGUGUAGUUCCCUGUCCAUUGAAAAUGUAGAAGCCCAUCUUGCUGCAGUGUAUGUGAGCAUAUGGCCUGCAAGUGCUGCUCUUUUCCCAGAUUGAAAACAUUGCGGUGUGGUUGGCUGGCCAUCGACGUGCACUUCGCUUUGGGGGGCAGUACGUUCUUUGUGGAUGUGCACUUCGUUUGGCCCGAGCGGCAUGAAGCUCCAUUUGCGCGCAUGUGUGGCUCGGCUAACUAGUUUGUGCAGUUCGCAUGAUACCUUUAUUAUGUGAUGCCUCCCUAGUUGCUGGAGUUCACUUCUUUGUAUUUAUUGAAACAUCAUGUAGUGCACUGUGAAACUCUCUGUUGUUCACUUGUAAAAACAAAUAGCGGUUCCCUUUGUAAAAAAAGUGCAGCCCCUUAGUGGUUCACCUUGUAGAAAAUGAGAAAGAAAUCCCCAUGGGAGGUUCACUUCUUUUUCCAAUGCAUUUUGUUUUGUUUGUGGGAUGAUUGAAAAAAGAAGUUCACUCCACUUGUUUAGUAGCUCAUACCCCUUUGUAUGAAAUGCAAUUUGUUUCGUGUGUCUCAAAAUCAGUCGACUACAUCAACACGUGCAGUGCGUUUGGUUUUUGGAUGUGGUUCAUUUUUUAGAGUGAUGUUGUUCACUUGUGCCGAACAUGAAAGCACAAAAAAAAUUAGCAAAACAAUAAAAAUAGUAAUGCGGUUCACUAUGAUAUAUGAUGUGGUUCGCUUGCUCGCGUCUCUGCGGUCCACUCUUGUUCAUAAAAAAAUUGAAAAAAACCAUCAAAAACUCGUCCGAGAAAAAUUUACAUCCGACAAAGGAAACCAUGAAGUUCACUUGCCUGUCUGAUGCAGUGCGGUUUCAUCCGAUGCAGUGCGGUUUUCUGUCGAAUGACGUUCACUCACCGAUUUGGGUGUCGCAAAAAACAGUGUCCGCAUAUUCGUAAUUUUAAAAUUUCUUUUAAACCGUAAGGAAUUAGAGAGAGUGUUCUACAUGAAAAAGUUGCGUCUCGUCGAUAUCUUUCCAAUGCCAUAUCAUUUGAAUCAUUUUGACAAGCAGUUUGUAAAAGUUUGGCAAAAAACGACUGCUGCCACUCAUCGUCCGCCGCACCAUUUUAAAAAUUAACUUAAAACCGUAGGGAAUCUCGAAACCAUUUCUACAUAUGAAAGUUGCGCCUUGUCCAUAGCUUUCCAACGAUGUAUUACACGCCUCAGUUCGAUAAACGGUUCAAAAACUAGAGUGAAAACAGUAUCGAACAUUGCAAAAAAUUUCAAAAACGUAAUUUCGCGAUUUAGUAAAUUUGAAACUGCUCAAAACCGAAACGAAUUAGAGAAAAUAAUAGGUAUGGAAAAGAUGUGCCUCAACGAUAUCUUUCCAACGGCGUAUCAUUUGCUUUAUUCCGAUGAGCGGUUUUGAAAAAAUCAUGAAAAUACGCUCGCUGCCACUCGUCAUCUGCAGCACCGUUUUUGAAACUGCUCUUAAACCGCGAGGAUCUUGAAAAGUGUUCAACAUGGCAAAGUUGCGCCUAAUCCAUAGCUUCUCCAGGUAUAUUACACGCAUCAUUCUGAUAAAUGGUUAAAAAAUUAGAGCGAAAAAACUACUAAAAAUACUGCAGCACACUUGGUUCAAACAAUGACGUGCACUUGCGUUGAGCGUGCACUUCGGAAGUGUUAUCAGAAUAACUAUUCUGCUAAUAUUAGCAUAAUAGACAGACUGUAUAUAUAUAUACAUCUGGUUACCCUAUGAUGAAUUCAAGCGGUUGAACUGAUGCUUUCUGUUCCUGUUAAAAAUCGUCUUUUUUAGUUCAAAAGUUUUUACAAUUUUUUUAUCAAAAUAGGGCGUGUAAUAUAUCAUUGGAAAGCUCUUGACAUCCACAUUACAAUAUUAUAAUUUUUUUUUGCAAAAAAAUUAAGAUUUACGAGCAGUUUUGAAAAAACCGUUUUUUUUUCAAACUGAAAAUGCGAAUCGUAUUUUGGACUUAAUUUUCAAACGGUUUGUUGGAAUUGAGCAAAUGAGAUGGCAUUGGAAAGCUUGUGAAAAUCCGCAUCUUCUAUAUUUCUACUAUUUUUUCAAAUUCUAUACGAUUUAAAAGUAAUUUGAAAAAGAGUGAAAUUCUGGGUGAAAUGUUUUUUCACUAUUUUUUUGCAAAUGGUUUGUAGGAUUGAUACAAAUGAUAUGGUGUUGGAAAGCUAUGGAAAAUGUGCAAAUUUUGCGUAUAGAAAGUUUUUUCUAAUCCUUACGGUUUAAAUACGAAUUCAAAUACGGUUAAAAUUGAUUUUGAACGUGUUUUUUAAAAAGUUUGUCGAAAUGGGGAAAAUAAUAUACCGUUGGAUAGCUAUCGAAAAUGCAAAACUUAGUCAUGUUGGACGUUUUCUCUACUUCGCAACCGUUUAAGAGUAAUCUUGAAUACGGCAUGACGGAUCCUGCUAUUUUCUCGUCUGAAAAACAGAUUAGUCGUACUGAUAUAUGUGUAUGUUUGUACUGAGCUAUUUUUUGUAGAGUAAUUUUAAAUGGUGCCGAAAAAAUGUACUUAUACUGAUGCUUGCAUGGUUUUGUACUAAACGUGUUUUCACUAACUAGACUUUGCUCUGUUUUUUCGUGAGAACCAUCAUGCUGUUUUUUUGUGAGAAAAAAUAGAGUACUUGUACUGAUCUUCGUGUGUGUUUGUACUAAUGUAUUCUUCAAAGAGUAAUUUUGAAAGGUUACGAAAAAAGAGUACUUGAACUGAUGUCCGUAUGGGGUUGUACUGAGCGUUUUUUCACAGACUAGGCUUUACUCUAUUUUUUUACUGAAAAUUGUUUCAUCAAUUGUUCGCAAAUGAUAGUACGAACUAAGAUAUGUGUUGGUUUGUACUGAGCAUUUGUUUCAUCAUUUGUUCGCAAUUGAUAGUACGAACGGAGCUUUGUUCAUUUUUAUACUGAGCAUUCUUGUCAGUGCCAGGAUCUCCGGAUUUAUGUUGUUUUGUUCUGCGAACUUCCUCAAAAUUUUAUUGGUAAAUCACACCGUUUUUUUUCUUUUGCUAAAUUUUUGUCCUCUGAACUUGUGACCUAUGGAGUUUGUACUGAUAUGAAUCGUUUUGCCGAACCGCCACAAUUUUUUGUGUAUUGAAUCACUAUAUAACUUAGAACCAAAUUGUUUUUCUUAACAUAUAUUUGAAUUGUUUCUAUAUGUACAUUGAAUUGGGGAAGAGUAGCAAUAGUUAUACAUACUUUAUGGAUAGUAAUACAUGAAUUUCUUGGUAAACUGAAGAAUAUACUCUGGACCGUAAUACAUGUCCUCUCGAGUUUGUACUGAUGUGAAUCCUUUUGAACUUGCUCUCGACGGUAAUACAUGACCUCUCGAGUUUGUACUGAUGUGAAUCCAUUCGAACUUACGUGGCUUACAUCAUUGAACGGACUCUAUUCUUCUCACUACCACCAUUGUUUUGUCCAUUUCUUUUUGGACUUGCAUGGCUUACAUCGUUGAACGGGCUUAGGUGGAUAUGUACUAAUGAACUACUAUGAUUUGUAGCUCUCAGGAAAUGUAAUCCUUUCUUUCCCUGUUAUUCUGAAUACCAAACAGCAAAAAAUCAGUUCUCAUAAGCACGAAAAAAUUAUAUAUGUACCCCUAAAUUUUGCAGCUAUUUUGUCCUCUUUCAUUUCGAAAAAAGCAUACAAAAAGCAAAAGCACAAACUAUACAAAAGGUUUUAGACACCAAACUAGUAGAGAAUUAAAAAUAGGCAUCAGGCAGCAACUUGCUAAACAUAGCACGAGUCAUAUACAUAUGCAUUUCAUCCCAUUAUACUUCUCCACCCGCAUGGAAAGUGAGAGAACCUCCCUACAUGCAUAUAUAGGCAUCAAACUCCCUCUGUACCUGAACUAUAUUUUUGUUUGAUAUAUAUUAUGAACUCCUCUCGUCGAUGUACAUGAACCUGCUGUGCAGAGAGAUGAAAUGUAGUACAUCAGUCUAGCUUCAUUCAGCUAGAGAGAAACAUGAAAAAAUGUUCAGUUUUUUAGACGGCUUUCCUCUUUUUCUUUGUCCAAUCUGCGCCACGACUGCCACCAUCCUGCAUGCAAGCUUAAAAUUAAUUGAAGCCACCAAACAUGCACUUUCAUGAGACUUUGCUACUAUAAGUCAGCGAACAUAUCUUUUAGUAUUAAACCAAAGGCACACUUAUUACCCAGCACUCUUGUUCAGUUCAGAGCAUCAUCAAUAAGAUAAAGAUACGAAAACAUUAAGCCAAUAUAGAACAACUGGAUUGAUUUGAUUCAAAUUUUUACUUUCAAUGCAUUGUAGGCAACAGCCGAUCCAAGUCAGAACUGAUGUGAUUUAUUCCAUCGAACUGAUAUGAAAGUUUAUCUAUACUGUUCUGUUUUUUAACACACAUGUUUUGAACUAUUCCCGCUUUUUUCAUUAUGAAUUGAUGACAUAACACAUGUUGAACUGUUACACAAGAGCAAAUUCAGAAAUACAUAACAAUGGUGUACUCAAAAUAUGUGCAUUUUAAGGAACAAAACUUUCUGAACCUUCUAUACGAAAAACUUCAACUAUCAGUCCAAAGAGAUUUGAAGUUAAACAAUCAUUUCCCUUACUGAGUGUUAAGGAAAACGAAACCAGAGAUGACCUCGCCGGCAGUAGGAGUAGCGAUGGCUGCCAAGGCGACGCGUUGGUACAUGUACUAAACAUCUGCUCAAACCUGUUGUAACAUCUACUUCAAGCUUUUUCUAAAUCAUUGUUGGGAGUAGAGGGUUUUAAAAGAAAAUACAGAGUGCCAAAGAAAGAAAGGAACAACCUAUUUAUCUAAAGGACUGUGAUAUUUGGCACACGUGUGCCAUAUAAGGAAAACUGCCACACCUCUAUUUCUUUCAUUUUAAAGUACCAUACGAUCCCUCGUUCUUUGACCCCGCCUCUUCCCAAAUUACCCCGCAGGCUCGCCUGAGAAACCCGCUUCUCCCGCACAUCUCGGGAGCUUACCCCCGAGAAAACUGCCACUUCUUCACGUCUACCACAUGAUCUCUCCUCAGGACAAAGUUACCAUGAUAUUCAUAUGAAAGUUAUUAGGCCUGUGUUGCAUAGCUUACCGUACUAUUUACAUGGAACGUAUCAGGUACUAUGCUUCAACAACUAGACCCUUUCAAAGUUACCACUAUGUUUUGUACACAAGUUAUAAGGUCUUCGAUGUGCAAAAUACCGUGGUACUUACACAUAAGUUAUCAGGGUAUAUGUACAUCAACCUCCCCCCGGUCAAAGUUACCAUGGGGGAUUGUACAUGAGUUACCAGGUCUACGGUUCGUAUAUUAUCAUGGUACUUGCACCUAAAAACCUGGGUGUGUUUCGGUAGCUUUUCUCAUAGGUCAAAAAUUACCAUGAUGUUUUUGCGUAACUUAACAUGCCUAUAGCACGUGUGCCCCUCGUGACACUAAACAUUAUGUGACUUUCUCGUGGCACGCCAUGUGUUGUGUUCAUCCAAGAGGCCCACGCGCGAGGCAAGUGUAUUUUUUUAACAACUUAUAUAUUUUCCUUUGGUAAAAAAGUUAUCAUCAUGUUUAUAUUGCAAGUUAUCGGUUAUGCGGUGCUUAUAUUAUCAUGUUAUUUACACAAAAAUUAUUGGGGAUGUUUUGAACAACUUUUUCCCGAGGUAAAAAGUUAUCAUGGUGAUUCUAGGUAACCUAUCAAGCCCGUAGUGCUUAAAAUAUCAUGCUAUUUACAUAAAAUUUAUCAAGGAUAUGUUUCAGCAACAAAUUCCACCCCCCCAUGGGUCAAAAAUUUAUCAUGGUGUUUAGUUAUCGCAGUGCAUAUGUUUUCAUACUAUUUACACAUAAAAAUGCCAGGGGAGGGAGGUAUACUACCGUGCUAUUUACACAGAAGUUACCGGAGUAUCUUAAAAAAAUUCCCUACGGUCAAAGUUACCAUGGUGCUUCUACCUCCGUUAUUAGAUGUGCGCUGCGUAUAUUACCAUCUAUUUACACAUAAACUAUCAGGUAUCUUUUCACAUUUGUUGUCCCCAAUGGUUAAAGUUACCACGAUGUUUGUAUCUAAAUUAUCAGGUCUAUGGCGUGAAUGUUAUCGUACUAUUUACAGAAAUUACCGGAGGGCGGGUUCAACAAAUUUAUUCACAAUGAUCAAAGUUACCACGAUGCUUGAAACAAAAAGUUGCUAAAGUAUUAAAGGCAAAAACAUGUCAAAAACAGUAUUACCCUUAGAAUGUUCAACAAUGAGUAUCAUAGGUGAGGUGGUUAGCUCCCUUUGUUAAUUACCUGCAGACCAGAGAUCAAAUCCUAGUCUAAGCAUUAUUUUUGCUCAAAAUUGAGAAGGCAUGUGGGGCCAUAAAUGACGAUUACGAAAAUUAGGAAGGCACAAGCGGGAGAGAAUUGAUGACAUUGGAUGCGUGUGGCAGUUUCGCAAUCUGCCACACGGUUGCCAUAUACAUAUUUCGUUAUCUAAAUAGUGUGUGGAAUUGUUUAUAUGGAUGAACAAAACAUUACUUGAAGUAGAGGUUCUGCCAAAAGAAAGAAAGAGCAUCUUGCAGGUUCAAGUUUGAGUAGUUGAGCCAGACAAUUUAUCGUAGGUGUUGUAUGUAAUAAUAAUUUAAUUAUUUUCAUAGGAGUACGACUCAUAGUAUCGGCAUGGAGGUCGUGAACAAAAGCAGAAGUAUCCUUAAUUUUUUAUUAGUGACUGUAAUUUUCCUUAUAAAGAACAUACUACUCUCGUGUAAACCCAUCCCUCUACAUAUGUACUGUCAGUUUUUUGCAAAUCGAACAAAUUGCGUAUGUAGCAAGUGCUAGUAUCUUGAAAUGCAGUUAUGCGUAUGCCCCUAAGAGUAGGUGAAUAGAAAACUCGAACAAAAAAUAGCUUUCUCCUAAUAGUAAUCGUGCUAGAACUCAUUCAAAGCUGAAGUGAACUAUAAUUAUAACCAGCCUUUGUCAAUAGAAGUCCUACUAAUCACAAAUUCCUCUAAUUUCCUCCAGACUCAAGAUCAAGAUGGUGGACAGUGCACGGAUAUUACAAAAUUAACAAUUCACAAUACGAAUUAAGUAUCACAAAUUGCAAGGCACAAGUUUUGAGCACAUACAAUCUUUCAUUGGUAGGCAGCACUACAACUUUGGAGGUCAACACAUUAGGCAAACUCUUUGGAAUUAAGAUAGUGAAAAGUAAAUGUAUGCGAAAGCAAGCUUCCAUUCGGUAAACCAUCAAGCCCAGAUUGCUGCACUCCGAAUUUCCUUUAGACUCAUACGCUACCUUCAGAUCAGCAAGCUUUAUGUUCAGCAAGUGUGUAACAAAACAAGAAUUGAACUGGAAUAGAAUUUGAAAUUUGAACUGAAAUACAAUACGAAAACUAAACUGAGUGUACUUUCAGAUUUUCACAUGGGCAUUAGUGCAUGAAGCAGCAAUGAAAUUGAACUGAAACAAAUUUCAGUUCAGCAAACUUAUAUGAAGUUAUAUGAAGCAUGCUUGAAUGCGUUGACCCGAAGCAUGCUUGUAGGAGAGUAGUGGCACUGGAAGGGAGCCUUUUGCUGAACUUAUAUGAAGUUAUAUGAACUUGUCUAACUUAUAUGGAACUUAUAUGAAGCCUUUUGCUGAACUUAUAUGAAGUUGACCAGACAAGAUGAUACCGGGGCGCAUCAGAAUAUAGGAGAGUGGUGAUGCAAGUCAGUCACCGGCUGGAUAAUGAAGCGGGUGGUAUGCGGCAUGGAGACAACCAGAAAAUGGGACAUCCAGGGGUAGGGAGCGUCGUCGCUGAAGAUCAGAGAGUGUGGAGCGCAGGCGUGCGGUGUCCCCCGGCCGGCAACGGAGACGAAGGAGAUCGGGGAUAGUGCACUUUUUUCGUCAGCCUGCAAGAUGCUCAAGGACCAGGACAACAUGUAGUUUCAGAAUUACAGAUUGUGGUCAGCUAUAGGAUGUUUCUGGGACCAUGUUUUAGCUACGAGAGAGCAACAACAUCACAUCAUGAGAGAGAGGAUGCAGCAUCAAAAAUUCAGGAGAAAGAUCAGAGCAGAGCAGAAGUAAAUAUGUUUUGAGGAGAUGAACUGACCAGGAUUUAAAUGAACUCUCACUAGCAGUAAUUUUUGUACUUCGCAUGUAGUACUACAUGGACUUGCUGUAAAAUACAUGGACCAUGUAGUAAUUUUGAAGUUAAUUAUAUGAUCAUCUCAGGGAGCUCAAGUUGUACUGAAAGCUCAAGUUGGACUGAAACUCACUCGAUAACUAAAACUCCUAGGGCGAGGGGUGGGAUCCAGGGUGCUGCUAGCAAUGAAUGGCCUGGGGUGGUGGCGUUGAACGGCCUGGAGUGGUGGCUGUGAACAGCCAGGGUGCUCCGGCGGCAGAGCCCCACCGGAGAUGGUGAUGCAAGCAGGAGGUCGGGAAGCAGUGGUGCCGGUGGUCGGGGUUGUCCAAUGCACACGGCACACCAGUACAGGAAGUUGAUUCAUCACCCAUCCACAGUUUUUUUCCUUUUGGGAAUCCAUUGAACUGAAAAAAGCUACAUGUGAGCUGAAAGUAUGAAAAUAACACAUCUUUGAAAGAAUAAAGAACUAGCUUUAACUUAUCUAUGAAAGAAUACACCUCCGAGGAACUAGCUUUGAACAUAUCUCUGAAAGAAUAGAGAGCAUGCAAAGUUCAAGGAAAGAAUAAGCAAAAUGGCACACUAGUACGCAGUAGUACGAGUCCAGUCAUGUACGUGCUAGUAUUAGAUUUGAAUAGUAGCUAGAAUUGAAGUUCAGGUAACCAUGGCACACACAUCAUACAGUUUUAGUCAUGUAUGCACACACACUGUAAUAGUAGCUGCAAUUAAAGUUCAAAUAACCACGGCACCCAUAACAGAACAAGAAUCAGUCUAGCAGCUAGGCAAGCAAGCUUCAUCAGCAUGAAUACACAUCAGCGGCAAGCUAGAACACGCUAGUAGGCUGUAGAAGUCUCCUUGUAAUUUUUCAAACAGAAGUGCUUUAGUUCAGUUCAGUAGUAAGGCAUGGAAAAAGAAAAGCAAUGGAAUAAACUAUAACCGAGCCAAAUAUGUAAUUUCAACAACCUAGACCUCAUUGCUUGACUUCAGUAGUAAUACAUGAUCAUCAGUUCAAUAUAAACAGACUGAUGUUAACAUCAUCGUACAUCCAUUGCCGGUUCAUCUGCGUGCAUUAUAUAUAAUUAAGUGUGUCAAAAACCAUUACAGAAUAGCAUGAAUACAAAAGACCAAAUUAAUAGAAGUUCAUCAUCACAUUAAAACCAAAGUACAGUAGUGAUCAAAUGUUGUUACUGAAAAAAUAAAUACAUAAAGUUCAUACAUAUAUAGUUCUCAUUGAACAACAUAUAUAUAGCUCUCUAGAGCAUCUAAUUAAACCAUACAUUGAAACAAUGUAAAAACAUUUCAAUGCAACAACAAAUGCGAUCAUAAUCGCAACUAAGGUAACAAUUGAUCCAACGGCAUAAUGAUGCCAAGCCUCGGUAUGAAUGGCAUAUUUUCUAAUCUUUCUAAUCUUCAAGCGCAUUGCAUCCAUCUUGAUCUUGUGAUCAUUGACGACAUCCGCAACAUGCAACUCCAAUCCCAUCUUCUCCUCCUUAAUUCUUUUCAAUUUUUUCUUCAGGUAAUUGUUUUCUUCUUCAACUAAAUUUAACCUCUCAACAAUAGGGUCGGUUGGAAUUUCCGGUUCACAUACCUCCUUGAUGAAAACAUCUAUGUCAUGUUGGUCGGCAUAAUUUUCAUACACACUAAAUGAACAAAAUAGUUAUAAAAUAUAAUAUAUACCACAUCGGAAUCAUAGACAGGACGAGGGCCGACGGAGGCGGAUACCAAAACCAUCGCACUAUAUGAUAACAAAAAAUAAUAAAAGUAAUAAAAUUAUACAAGUAUCUAUCUAAAUCAUACAAGUAAGAACUUUUUUCUUUUAGAAGAUAAGAACAAGAGGCUCACCACGGUGGUGCCAGCGACGAGAUCGGCGCGGGCGAUCGACAGCGGUGAGGACGGGGACGGGACAGGAUGGACCGCCAAACCUAGACAAAUCUUAAGGAAAAUGGAGUUUGGACAAGGAGCUUCGAGAGGAGAAAGCUUAAGUAUGUCUCGGACAUUUCACCGAACACCUCAUGUGCAUAGGAGGUGAGCUAGAGCACCACAAAGCUCUCCCACGGCCGGCCAAAAAAUAGAGCAAUGCACUGCUCUGCUCGCGGGCAGGGGGAUAUAUAGGCCUCUCUUUAGUCCCGAUUUGUGGCUAGAACCGGGACUAAAGGACCCCAUUUGGUCCCGAUUCCAACCACCAACCGGGAUUAAAGGUUGUGGGCCAGGAGCGAGGCCCAUUUGUCCUGGUUCGUGUCUGGAAGCGUGACCAAAGGGGUCAGACGAAUCGGGACCAAUGGCCCCCGAGGCCCUGCUGACGCCCUGGCUUUAUGAACCGAGAUUGAUGCACCCAUUAGUCUCGGUUCAUAGGGAAACCGGGAUUAAUGCCCUUUUCAGACCUGGACCAAAGCCCUAUUUUCUACUAGUGUUGUAGGCCUCGCUCACAUGAAGUAAGAACGGUCGGUGACGAUGCCUCAUAAAUCCAUGUGGUGCAAUCAUAGUUGGUGGUGCAGGGGAGGAAGUAACCUUCUUUGAUGGGGAUUCCAUCGCACGCUUGUUCGUCAUGUAGACGCGUCCUCUUAAUUUCUGUUCAGCUUUACAGGCAAGACGAAACAAAUGAUCGAUAGAAUAUAGUCUUCAUGCAUUAUUAUGUCUUGUAUAUCAUGGUUUAAACCUUUCCAAAAUCGAUUCAGAAAAUCUUCUUCGCAUUCUUGUAAGCCAGAACGAAACAAAGCAAUACACAAAUUGUCAUAAUAUUCUUCAACAAUGAUAUUGUCUUGUUCUAAACGUUUUAAUUUUCAAAGCAAAUCACUGGCAUGAUAUGAAGAACAAAUCGGUCUCGCAUAACAAGUUUUAAAUCUUUCCAAGUAGAAGGCCUAUUAUCAAUAUUUUUCCUGCAAUAAUUUCUCCACCAAACUGAAGCAAAACCUAAAAACAUCUUAGUGACAACAUUUAUUUUCUUAUGCUUGGGAAGUUCAUGGCUAGCAAAUAUUUCUUCUACCUCAAUUUCCCAAUCAAUAUAUGAAUCAGGGUCAUAUUUACCCUUAAAAUUUGGCAAAGAGGUAACAUGAUGAUGUGUGUUUCUACCAUGAUGUAUAUCAUGUGACGAUCGUCGUACCUUUUGUGGUGGGAAAGAGUGAUCUUUAUCAAUAUAUGGCAAGUCAUCUCCCACAAUAGAUGCACCCCAACUGUCAACCGCUCUAGAAUCUGCCAUGGUUAGUACCACACAAAAACAAAAAUAAUAAGUAUAAUGUUUCUAUAGUACUACUUGGAGGUGGCAGAAAAAUUCUCUCAACACUCUAGCAAUUACCAAGCUCUUACCAGAUCUUACCGUGCUGCAGUGGUUGUCGGCCUUUGGCGCCUUCAAAAGUUAUCAAAGUUGGAUAUAGUGAUUGCCAAAUCACCGAACAAGGUACAAUAUAGAAAGUGGAGCUUGGUGAAGGUUUUCUCAACUCACAAUAUCGGUGGCACAAUUUUGCUAAAAGUAAUGCAAGAUGAAUAAUUGCUCAAACUCCUAACUAGUGCUGAUAGUCGACUAGUAAGAGAUAAAAUAAUCUAAGCCCAGAUACUGAAUCAAGCGAGAGGGAACUGACGAAAAUAUAAUAGCUCCAAGUAGCUAGAUAUAAGUGAGGUAUGAACGUAGUGUAUGGCAACCAAGAGCAGACAAAAAAAUCCAACACUUAUCACUUAUAUGAAUAGAGCAGGCUGAACAGCAAAAGAGAUUUUUCAAAAGAUGCUAGCUGGCCAAAACUUUGCAUCAAAUUUUUUUAUUCUUUUUUCUGAAUUUUCCUUUUUCUUCAACUUUCAGGCCGGCCGCUAGUAGAAGUCACGGACACAAAUAUCUGACCAAACAGGUAUGAAGGGGUGGCCGGGGCACAUCUGGUGUAGCCCAUUGGCGCUGUCCAGCGGUAAAAGAUCUCAUGCCAUUGCUGAAAUUCACGUCCCCCACCCAGGGCAUUUUGGUCAUUUUGCAUCUAUGCCCUUUUCCGAUUCGCUGCAUCCUCCCCCAAUGAGUGCCUCCCUCAUUUUUCUAUCCCUCACAUCUCUCUCGGGAGAGAGUCGCUGCCGCUAGUCAUCCUCCCCGUCUGCCGCCGCUGCCGCCAACCAUCCGCAGCCGCGCCACCAUCCCCUCCCCGUUCCUCUCCCGUAGCUGAGCCAGCCAUGGCCAGGAAGAAGUGCAAGUCCUCUUCCUUCCUCCCUCACCCCUGAUCUGAAUCCUCUCCCGGAACCCCAGCCAGCCGCACGCAUCCCAUAUGGCGCCGCCCAGCUCGCAGCCCUCGGCCGCCGAGCCAUCGCGAGGCUCCUCGCGCAAGCGCACGACCUCCUCAAAGGCUGCGCCCGAGGCCGACCUGGAGUUCACCGUCACCAAGGAAAGGUAAGGGGAGGGGAGGGGAUGGAAGGGAUCGAGCGACCAGGUGAGGAAGCGCCCAGAUCCACAGGGCCAUCGACACUUCGUCAUCGACCUCAUCCGCGACCGUCCUCGAGGUCGGCCAUGGUGGUCCGGCCGGCAACAGCCAUGGAAGGAGAGGCCCGAAUCCCUGGCCCUCCAAGUACGCGCCUGCUGCAGGCCAUCUCCGGCGAGCUCAUCCACAGAUCUCCAACUAUGGUGCGUGCGCAUGAUACCUAAACCCCUUGUCUUGUCGGUUUCUUCAUCUUCCCUCCUUGUGAUUCCUUGGUUUGUUUUGUGCGCAGUUGCUCCGAUCUGGAAGAGGUGGUGGAGCUUUUGUUGUUGCUGCUGUAGGUGGACGAGGCACCACCCUCUCUUUCUACUUCUGGACACAACCUGGUGGUGAUUGCAAAUUUCAGUGUUAAAAAAUUCAGUUCAAUUCAGUCAUGUUCUUUUUCUUUUGUGGGGAAAUUCAGUCACAUUCAAUGUUCAACUUUUAGAGUUAACAAACUGUUGUUAUGACCACUAUGGUUUAGAUGUUCAGAAAUUCAGACAAAUGGUAUGAUGAAAUGAGCCACCUUUUAACCCCCUACUAAACCUACCGUGAACGUGAGAGAGCCAAUGCAGGGAGGUGUGGACAUUUUACCAUGUUCAUAGGAAGAAAUCAACAUAAAAUACACAGCUUGUAGAUGAUUCGUCAACCACCAUCAAACACGACUUGUAACUUUCUGGACUAAACUGAACCGUGCAAUUGACUCAAAAUAAAACUAAACCGUGCAAUUGACUCAAAAAUAAAUAGUAAAUAUACUUUGGUUGUGUCUGCAGAAUUGCAUUAUGGAAAGAUGUGUGUGAGGUUACCCCAUCGCCACUGGUUCCAACUUUGUCCAUCAUGUCGCUCUGAUGAGAAGACCUUGUCCAUGUUUCAUUAAUAGGGCAGAGUGCUGCUGAAGUAUCUAUGUUGAACAAUUAUAACAGUACCAAGUAAGUUUGCUCCAAUUGCAUUUGAUGCAGAAGGCACAACACCGCCAUCAUGCGUCAGGUUCAGUAGAAGGCACGACACCGCCACGCUCUCCUCCACUACAAUGCCAUGCACCCGGUAAUUAAACAUGCUUUCUCUUCAUUCNNNNNNNNNNNNNNNNNNNNNNNNNNNNNNNNNNNNNNNNNNNNNNNNNNNNNNNNNNNNNNNNNNNNNNNNNNNNNNNNNNNNNNNNNNNNNNNNNNNNNNNNNNNNNNNNNNNNNNNNNNNNNNNNNNNNNNNNNNNNNNNNNNNNNNNNNNNNNNNNNNNNNNNNNNNNNNNNNNNNNNNNNNNNNNNNNNNNNNNNNNNNNNNNNNNNNNNNNNNNNNNNNNNNNNNNNNNNNNNNNNNNNNNNNNNNNNNNNNNNNNNNNNNNNNNNNNNCAAGAUCUCAAAGAGGUGCCGGCGAACCCAGGCCACACCCAACGCGCUGGGGGGCUGUUGGGGGCGCCAGCGGAAGCAACAGCCAAUCAUAUUCCUCCAUGUAUCAUUUUUUCUGGUCCACUCAUUCACUUUUUGCCUGGCGACUGUCCUGGGGGCACCAACGGCUGGGAAACCGUCCUUGUGUUUCAUUCGGCGAAGGUGUUUUGCCCCCCAGGACGUGCUAUAUUUGGCCCGACGAUUGUCCUGGGGGCUCCAACGGUUGGAGAUGCUCUAAUUCAUUGUAUUUGCAUGUUUCCAGCAGCCAUGUAUCAAAAAAAGCUUCAGCUUUGGGUUGUUGAUUUAGCAGCAUCAAUCAUUAAUUGUUCUGCUAUAUAUGUUCUUAACCAUGACAACCUGAUUAGGCUCUUAGUUUAUUAUGGUCUUUGUUCUGGGUGGAUCUCUGACUAUUCUGGGUGGGCAUGAAUCUCUUCUUUGUUUCUUCAUCUCCUCUUAUUCUGAUUCCUGCAUUUGUUUUAUGUGAAGGUUGCUCCGCUGAGGACAAGCUGCUUCUGCAGGUGGACGGGCCCUCAAGGCUGCUCUGCCUAUUCCUCCUGCUACCCCCACACGUGGUGAGCCCCAUCCGUUCUCGAGCUACCCCUGCAAAUCUGAUGUGAUGUGCACAAAAUACUUGCAAUUGUUCUCGACACAGGAGCAUGUCAUGUAUUGUUCUAUUUGAAUGUGCAAUUUCAUUGCUUCUGUGAUGUUUGAUGCUUGCUUCACAAGAGGGAAAUCAUGGAUAUAAACUGUGCUUCCUUUCAAGUUGAAUAGUAAUGAUCACCAUUUGGUUCCAUUUUCUCCUCUGCAUCCAGUGUUCACUCUCUCAUAGAUGUCCAUAUAUACAUAGUUCUGAUCUCCUUUUUUCUGCGGCUCCAUACAGCAAACACAAAGCCGUCGAUGCAUUGAGGGCUCAAUGUCGUCUCCGCCGGCUGAGCGGCAAGCCGGGGUUGGGCCUGCACACCGUCUAUCAGCACCCUCCCGUGUCUCCAUUCACGGAUCUGCAGGUCAACCCCUCUUCUCCUCCUAUCCACGCAUCUUCUUUUCCAGAGCUAGGUGUAUGGUUGCAUGGCAAUUUGUGUUUAGGGGCUCACCAUGUUCUGCUUGCCCUGGUUGGCCAAUGAGGCUUUCCUUUUCUUGUAAAGGCCAAAUGUACAAUUCUCUAUGCUUUAUAUUUUUGUAGUUCCUUUGUUUCCAUGCUAGUUUUUUGAUGGGGUGUAAAUAUAUGCUUUUUUGUUCCUUGUCUGGAUUCAGGUAGGGCCUAACAUUAUUGUUCCUUUGUGCAUGGAAAUGUUGGUGGUUUUGUUCCUUUGUGUAUGGAAGGGGGCCUUGAUUAGAAUUUUUAACGUUUGAGUUGUAAUUAGUGUUUUUGUUACACAUGAAAACAUAUGGUUGUUUGUCCAAUCACAUAUGAAAAAGAGAUGAUUGUUUGUCCAACAAUUUUCUUUCUCUGUGAUAGUUUUACUAGAAAUAAAGCAUAGUCACUAUUACAUCCUAUUUUAUAUCUUGUUGUGUCGUGAUAUCUAUAUAGACUCUGUCUACGUCCUUUUGACAUUCCAAGUUUUGUUUUUCUAUGGCUCAAUUAGUUACCCCGUAUCAAGAGAAAUUUAACUGGUAUUUGCGGUAGAGUUAGCUGAAUUCAUGAAGCAAUGAUUUAGUUAUUAUUAAAGCUGAAACACAACAUGUUUUGACAAAUGCGUUCUAAGUAAAGCCUCCAACUAACAUAACCAAAAACAUAUUCUUUAGGUUUAUCAUCUAUUGAAGUAUUAUGUAGAAUUUUAAAUCAUACGAGGCAAAGCAAAUGAGCUCUAUGCACUUUCCAUGUAGCACAAAACAAAAAUAAUCAUGUAUAUUUUGGAUGCACCUAGAUAUACUCAUCAGCAAGGCUGAGGUUAUAGGGCAGGGCACUCACCCACAUUGUCGACAUCUCCGUCACUAUGAUCACCCACAUGAUGGACAAUUCCCUUCUUUCUUUUCUCUGUGGCUAUUGACACUUAAUGCUAUUACUGUGUGCAUAUAUGUACUGUGAUCCAUUCUCAUUCUUCAUAUCUUGAGAAACUAUCUCAAGAUACUCGCAUUUGUGUUUUGAAGAAAGCCUAUUCUAUGAUUAAUAUAUCAAGUAUGGAUGGCGCGAUAUCACCUCUCUUUAUGAUGAUGUUCUUACAGAAUAUAGGUUUUAUGGUAACACGUCUUAGCCAACACCUAUACUGAUGCUCAGACCAGAUGAUUAUAGGCUCUCCUUGCUAUUUUUCUUGAGGUGUGUACAUCUAUCUAGACAAUUUAAUUAAAAUAUAUAUUCCAUACAAACCAUCAAUACAUGUUAGUUGACUUUGAAACUAAUCAGUAAAAAGGUUGUCCCUUUCGCAUUUUAUGGACAUAAAGAUUUGGUGUUGACUGUCGAUCUUUAGUUAACACAUGACCUUACAACCGUAGGGAGUGGGAAAAAACUUAUAUGUUUGGCACAUUUGAAGAACAUAUCAUAGUAACGAAGUUUUGGUAAACAAUGUCCUAGAUCUCAACCAUAUAGAAAUACUAAAUAUAUGUUUAUUUGUAUAUGGAUUAAUUAUACAGACUUAUAAAACCUUGUGCAGGGCACAUAAAAGAAAUUUGAAAUAACUAUUAUUUCAAUAUUUGCUUUUUCAGUUGAGCAUAAUAGUUUAUAGCCUGAUAGGCUUGGACAUAAUUGUCUACAUGUACUGCUCAGUAGGCGACAUCCUUUGGGAAAUUGAGGAUGUCCUCGUGCAUUUUCUAAAUACAAUUGGGGCAUAUCUGAGGAAUGAAGGGAGGAAUAAUCUCGUGGGAGAGUUCGGUGCAGAGGAAGAAGAACAAGAUAUUAUUUAUUUCUUGUGUACAGUCAAGCUUGUGCAUUGUCCCACUGUAAGUUAUUUCAACAAUAGUAGUAACUGUUAUCUCUGGCCAUCUGUUGCGACAUUUUCUUUAACCACCAAUGCAUAUUUAUUUUCUUGUUAAUAACUCUCAUAAUUGCCUGCUACUGUUUCAGUUCUGGGGCCAGGCAACCUUGAAUCCAACGUCCACCUGCAGGCUACAUCUCAGGUAGGAUAAAAAGAUUGCAGUGAACUUGAUGGGUAUAUCAUUAUUGUUGCCUCCUAAUUUGUGUGAUGAGCAAAUGUGUAGAUUGUGUGUAAAUCCGAGAUGCCUAAAACGGUUGGGAACUGAACUUGUUACCUCGGUUCACUUUAAUGGCAUGUUAAACUCGAUGCACUUUCUGGACUGUGACAUUUUUCCUGAAAUUUUGGAAGUGACUGCUAAUGUAGUCUAAAUAGAGUGACUGAGUAGUUACUUUCUCACAAGAGUUGACUUCCCGUUAUUGGAGUACUUGCUAAGAUGGAUUGGUGGUUUUUAUGUUAGAUGAAAAAUAUUACAUCAAUCUUUACGGCUUUUUAUGGGCAAGUGAUUCCGACUCCAUAAUAAGGAAUAAUAUAGCCCUAGUGCUGUGAUAAUGUUAAAACAUUUACCUCUUUUAUCGGUUCAUGUUAUGUAUUUGCUGCGAAAAAAUGGUCUUAUAUCAAAUAAUAGCCUAGAGCUUUUGGAGUGUUAUUACUUGUAUUUGUUGCUUGGAUGUAUAAACCUUCAACAGACUGUCAAUUUUGCUUUUAUAUAAUCUGUUUGUUUAAGUCUGCUGCAUAUUGGUCAAAAGCUCAUGCUAAUUGAUGAUGUUAGGUGAUGAUCUUGUAUCUAACAGUGAUUUCUGAAUGCAUGCUAAAGAAAACUCAUGAACAUCAUGGCGCCUUGUUGAUGGGGUGAUCAAUAGCUACUAUAUUGGGACCCUGAACUUAAAUUGUAGGUCUGAUUUUGUUUCGGAGUUCUCCUGCUACCCACAAGCUUAGAUAGUUCUUUUGUUUGUGCAGGGGAAAUUGCAAAGCAUAUUAUGAAUUGUUACAAGAAACUAUUUCUGCUGUUUUGGUGCAAGGACGUUGCUUUUUAGUAUGCUUCCCGUAUCUUGGUAUCUUGGAAUAAUAAACAGAUAGAUGUCGUGUACCAAGAUUGUUCCUUGUUGUUAAGAGGGAUACAAAUAUUAUACAAGAUUUUUUCUGAUGACUCCUAAAGCAUAUUUGGAUAUACAGCAAAGUAUAUUGUCGCUUCCCUGUUAGUAAAACGAUUAUUUUAGAAAUUUGGUUGGCAGCCCCUACAUUUGGCUGAUUGCUAGCUUACUGGAUUACUCAUGUUUGCGGACUCUGGUAACUUAUGCCUACCAAGAACUACAUGAAUUUUGUGUCUUGCUGCAGUGAACAUUACCAAACUAAUUCUAGAGGUGUUAUAAUCAUGUUUUCUUUUGCAUUAUCAACUUUUAACUUUUGUCAUUUGUUAACACAUUCCUUUUGCAUUAUCAACUUUUAACUAUUGUCAUUUGUUAACACGAUUAUUUAGUAUGUUCACUAUGCGAGUACUCCCUCCGUCUGAAAAUACUUGUCAUCAAAAUAGAUAAAAAGGAAUGUAUCUAGAACUAAUAUACAUCUAAAUACAUCCCCUUUUAUUCAUUUCGGUGACAAGUAUUUCCGGACGGAGGGAGUAGUAAUAAUAGGAGCUAUUUAUUUGCCAGAUAACUAACACUAUUCAUAUGGCAUAAGGGUUAGAAAAAGAACUGUAUUCUUGCUGUGUUGAUUUUCGUAUGGCACACUAUGGAUUCUUUGUGUAACACAUAAUGUCGAUCAACAUGUGUUUACAACGCAGGGAGGAGCCGGGCGACAAGGCAGUCAGACCAAACUCUCUUUCCAUAUAUAUAGGUAGUCUGAUGUUAUGCCAUAGCCGAACCAUAUAUGUUUCGUGUACUGCUCUAUCAAUCUGGUCUUUUGGUAUAUUAGACUCUAUCCUUUGUAAUGAACUUAUUGUCAUGGGCGAUCAUUAUGACUGGAUCGUAUGGUAUGAAUCGGGUCUUUAUGCUUUGUGAUGAAAUAUCAUAUUAUCCUGUUCACCAGUUUGGUUUGGUUUUGAGCUAAAACGUAUAAAAAUACAUGGCUUACAACAAUGGAUAUAUGUGAUGAUAUAUUGAGUGAUUAAGCAUAAUUUUAGACUUUCGGUGCUGGACCAAUGGGAUGCAUGGGGUAAUUGAAUGUUUCUUCUUCACUUUUUAUUAUCGGUUGGGAUCAGCACUCUCGCGCGAUCUAGUUAUGAUGAUGCUGCCUAUACAAAGCAAAUCUAUGUGGCUAUAAAGUGGAGCACCAUGGCGAACAAGAAACUGGCGCUUGAGGACAGACAUGAGUGGAACUGAUGUCUGAUGCAACACGGCGUUGCUGUACGCGUCAGGGCAGACAGCAACGACGUGUAACAGAUGGGAUGUCGGAUUGCACGCAAAACAAAGGAAUCCAAUGCAAUUUUGAUAGUUUUUUUUUCAGAUUAUGGACGAGCUUGCGGCGGAAACCAUGGUGGAGAAAAAAAAGUUCGAUCUAGUAGACAAAAAUUUCUCAUACAAAUCUAAACCAGCACUAUUUGUAGGAUGAUGCAACCAAAAAUUCAACUACGCAAGUACUAGAUGCAAAAAUUGCUAACGGCUAAAAAGAUAGGUGCAAAGGAUGAACUAAUCUUUCUUUCUUUUUUGGCUUUUUUUGGGUUAUAGGACAUGAAAAAUAAGCUAAUCUAACAAAACUGUAAAUCUCUCACCGCUGAAAGUGAAAACUGAUACCACUUAUGUGACGGCGGCCCGAUGUUUCGAUGAGAGUGAGGAUAACUAUCAAUUUGAUGGAUUCUGAUCUUGACGCUCCGGCUAUACAAUACCCGACGAUAUGCCUCGACAAUCGCUAAACCAAUCUCCGAUGGUUAUUGACCUUGCCGUAGGCACGGUCAACCUGAACGACGAGGUUUGAGUUCCUGCAAGUAACUAAAGAACCGGCAAGAACAAAGGUGAAUUGCAAUCUGAAAUUGCGAAUGAAAAAUUAAGCACAUGAACUAGAUCAAAAGUUGGAGUUCCACUUUGGAUCUGACAAGGCGGUAGUCCUACACGUCUCAUAGAUGCGAAACUGUAGCAUGGCUAAACAAUACAAUAAAACCCGCGUAAACCCUAGAAUAUGAUGACUAUUUAUUAAAGGCCGGCGUGGAGAAUGCUUCGUCUAUUUUCUUGGAAGUCAAGACGGGCCUGCUAAUUGGCCGGACACACACGCGAUCUGAUUUGAAAAUAAACUUCUCAUAUCAAUCUGGUGGCAAACUGCCUCAUCGGUACUAUAGGCCCAGAUGCGCAACACACAAGGCCAUGCAUGGGCGCAAAACCUAUACGACGCCCUCAGCGUCCGAUACCAUGUUAACGGUACAGGGCACAGAACGUCGUGAGACAGUUCGGUCCAUAUCCGGUGUGGGCAUUAGAGCAUUGAGAGGACCUUUCCCUAGUACGAGAGGACUGGGAAGGACGCACUUCUGGUGUAUCAGUACACCCCCUUGUCACGAUGGGCCGGCCCACAUUCCUUUUUUUCUAUAUUAAAGACGCCGAAAAAACUGAAUGUAAGCACCAUGAUUCAAACCGGCAAUCGACUGGUUCAACACACACCACCUAACCAAUAGGCUACAUGUUGUUGACGUGGUUAGUUAUAGCUUUUCCUUCUUUUCUUCUUUGUACCUUCUUUUUUGUUUUUUUGUUCGAACGGUUUUGUUAGUUUUUAUUAUUUUCCAUCUUAAUUUUUUUCAAUAAUACAACAUUUUUCGUUUCAAUUUCGUGAACUUUUUUAAAAUUCGAUAUUUUUUUUCAAAAUUCAAUGAACUUAUUUUCAAAUUCGAUGAACUUUUUACAAAUUGGAUGAACUUUUUUCAAAUUUGAUGAACCUUUUUUUAAACUCGAUGUUUGUUUUCAAAUUUGCCAACUUUUUUGAAAAUUCAUGUACAAUUAUGAAUUCAUGAAUUUUUUGAUAUUUUUUUAAUUUUGCAAAUUUCCCCUUUUUAGUUUUUUUAAAUAGCAAUGGUUUUUUCGACAAGUGCUUGCAAGAGAAAAAAGGCUAGCAAAGGAGCGAGCAGCGACCGAUUGAGCCAGCAGCAGCGGUCGAGCGAGUAGUCGAGCGAUUAGCAAUCGAGCGAGCAGCGAUCGAGCGAGCCAGCAGCAGCGGCCGAGCGAGCAGUUGAGCGAUUAGCGAUCGAGCGAACAAAUGCAUGUUGAUUCAAUAAUGCUCAAGUGUAAAUAUUCUGUAUUAAACUUCGCAUCUUCACCCGAGGUUUGUGCAUCUCUUCUUUAAUCCUGCAUAUAAAAUAUUGUGUUGUAUUUUUGUUUCGGAUAACAAAAUAAUAAUUCAUAUAAUUUCUAUUAGAAUUCACCUGAUAAUUAUCUUUACGCGCAAUAAUUGUGGUUAUAUCCGUACGGGUCAUGUUUAUAUCAGGUAGUUAAUCUUCUUUUUCUUAUCCGCAAGACACUUCUUCACAUGCUCAUCCAAGAGGGUUUCGGCUGCCAACAUGAUCAUCGCAUCCACCACGUCCUGUGAGAUUCGCAACCUCUCCUUCUCAAGCUCUAUGUCGCCAAAUGUCUUGGCCUUCUCGAGUUCCCAUUUGAUCGCCACCCCUUGGUGGUCCACCAUGUCCGAACCUCCUUGCGCCGCCGCCGCCUCCCUCUCUCGCUGCAGGCGUUGCCGCAACUUCUGGGCGGCGUCCUCCGCCUUGCAAGUCAGAGCCGACGAAGGGACGCCGACGGACAAGGCGGACGGCGUCUUUGUCGCGGUGGUGGAUCGGGACCGGUGGUGAGGAUUGGGAGCAAGGGUGGAGGACGGCGAGGGUUCGGGCGCGGGAAAAGUUGGAGGGCGGCGGGAGGAGGAGAAAGGGUUUGGUGCAUUUGGCACAAUUUUCAAUGGGGUCGGGCUGACGGGUCCGACGUGGCGGGCGCGCCCGGGCGCCCCAUAUUUGGGCUAGAUAUGAGGGGUGCCGGUCAGCCCAGGCGUUCGAGGCCCGUUUAAGGAGCCCGUCUGGAUCGAAAAAUCGUGACCGGGUGGCCCACCCGGGUGUAUGAGCCAGGCUUGAGGUGCCCGACUGUAGAUGCUCUAAUCAUCUAGAUCUGACGCUCAAAGGCUCCACCCUCCCCCACGACUUGGGUUCGAGCGCCUCCCCAAAACUUCGUCGGGAUCCGCCACAACCGGCAACGGCGAGGCCAGAGGUGGCCGGAUCCGGCACAGGUUGGUCUCUCCCCUCCUUCUUCGCCCACCCUCUCCUCCUUACCUCACGCCACUUGUCUUCCCUUUUUUGCAGGUCGCCAUGGCGCGGACGGCGAUGACGGCAGGAGGGGCACACACAUCCGUGGAAUGGGACGCCGCCAUGGAGAUGGAGAUCCUUCUUCACACCACGCAGAGGCCCCAUGGAGCCUCCCUCCUUCUUCGGUGACUUCUUCUCAGGCCCCACCACUACCUCUGCCCUCCCCCCUCCUCUACUUUGAGUUGCACCAUGCUUUGUUUCAGAUUCAUCCACCCAUGGGUGAUACAUGGGAAGUUAGGGGUUGCUGCAGUUUGAGGUUAAUCCCUUGAUUGGCUGUUGUUUCGGGUUGAUUAGAUUAGUUAGCUCAGUUGGCUGCUAGACUUUAGGAGUGCAUACAUGGGUAUAACAUGCUCUGCACAUUUAGGAUUGAAGUAUUGUGUUGCAGCACUCAGUGACGUUAAUUUAGGGCAUUUCAGUGUCAGUUCCACUAUAUUUCGGGGGACAUUUAACAGUGCAAUUUCAUGGUUAUUACAGUGUAAUUUCAAGGUUCUUGCAUUCUAAGUUCAGAGAAUUACAAUGUUAGUUUAUGUGAAUUCCCGUGCAUUUUACUGUGUAAUUUAAGUGCAAUGGAAAUUAUAGUGUAAAUUCAGUGUAAUUUACUAUGUAAAUUUACGGAAAUUACACUGUAAUUCGUGUGCAACUUUUAGUGUAAUUUACACUAUAAUUUCAACGGGUUUACAGUAGAGUAAUUUAAGUGUAAUUACAGUGUGCACUUUAGAGCAAUCAUACUAUAUAUUUAGUGAAUUUAAAGUAUCACUCCAUACCUUUCGGGUUUGUCUUUUUUCUCUACAAGUUACUGCUAUACUGUUGAUUGAUUCUACCCUUGCGAAAGAAACUUUGAUGAGCACAUAAUUUUCUACUAUGUAAUUUGAGCAGCUUGGUAACCGUAAUUUUCAGUUUCCUUUGACCCUAGGCCCUUGUGCUUUAGAAUUGCUAUUUUUUGUCAGUGUACAUGCUAGAUCAUGUGGUUUAUGAUACUUCUCUGGUCCUUAUAAACAAAGUGACAUGUUUGUACUGUGGAAUAGAAAGAAUAUUUCAGUGUCUCUCUUUAGGCCUUUUGUCGAAUUGUUAUGUGGUCCAGUGCAGCCUUACGAAACCGGGUUCUAUGCAGUUCAUGUACAGUGCAAAACUCAUUAUUGCAGGUCAGGCCUGUAGCAUGUCUUGGGUCAUUGACAUGCAGGAAAGAAGGAAAAAGGACAUAGAAGUAUCAUUUUGUUAUUGGUCAAGAAAAUUUGAAUAAUGUCCAACUGAUUUCAGUUGAAUGACAAAUAGACAAUCCCUUGUUUAAUCAGUAGAUAUACACCAUUAACUCAAAUAGCAAAGAAAUACUAGUCCAUUUAUAAUCGAUGAUUGCGCAUGAUGCAUCCAUCCAUUCUAUCGGAGAGGCUGUGUUUUUUUUCUUCUUGUGCUAAGGUUGAUAGCAUCACAUAUCUUAUGCUUUUGUUUCUCAAGUAGAGCCUUGAGAUAGAUGUGUCUGCAACCGUCCUCGAAUGGUUGUGCAAUAAUAAUGGUCCUAGCUAAUUACUAGUAUGCACUGCUUAUAAAACAACUUGUUGCUCGUUUCACUUUGAGUAUGCUGUUGCUGCUAAAGUAGCAACAACAACAGCCAUGCUUUGGUUCCCCAAAAUUCAGAUGGCACUGGCAUCUCUACAUACACACACAUAUAUGAAUAUGCACCUCAGUUUGGUUCAGUUUGCAUGUGUACCGUUGCUUUAACUUUGACUGAAACUAUCUUGGUGGCACUUGCAUCAAUGUUGUGCUCUGCCCUUGUAUAUGUCCUUGGAGAAGAUGACCAUUGGACUGUAGGGGACGAACAACCUUGUCCUGCUCGAGGAGGAGGAGGAUGGCCACCCUGAGCUCGAGGACGACACGACAACAGGAGCACUCACCUCCCUACUAAGGUGAAGGUCCGAUCCGCCUGUUUAGAUGGUCUGCUCUUGUCUUGUGAUCUGAGGGGAGAAGAAAGCCAUUGGCCUCAAUUAUAUUUGCAUGUGAGGGGAGCGAUCCUUUUGGUAGAUGCAGAGUAUAGAUUACAUAUUCCACAAAACUCACCACACGAGUAUACUAACUAUAUCCACAAAAUUCACCACACGAGCAUACUACCUAUGUCCAAAUGUGGGUUUGAUACUUUCGACAUGAAACAUGAAUAUCAGGUUGGGAGUUUGGAGUUUAAUCAAAUAACGCAGCAAGGCGAUCAUCGGUAGGGAUGCACCUUUGAGGCGGCAAGGAGGGCUUCUCAAAGGCAGUACACAUGGCUUAUUACUGCUUGUAUGUGAGUACGCAGAUGUGGCGUCUAUGGAUAGAGGGUUAGGGGCGCAACGCAAGCGGCAGUAGGGGAUACACAACCUGAUUUGAUUUGGUCAAUCACGGGAAAUGGGAGAAGGCCUAGGGUGCAAAGUUUAGAUCGGUGGGUUGGUAGCGUUAGGCAUAAUAGAGAUCAAACCUUUUUCAUAGGCGUAUGUAGGUUAUUUCCUUGAAGCAUUUUAUCAAAAUGGUGUAGGCGGGUAAUAUCUCUCAACUUAAAUGUGAAGGGGAUAUAUUAUUUCCUUGUAGAGGCCGAGGAAUACAUGGCGUACCGCUACAUAUGCAACCAUGAUUUUUUGUGGAUGGUUACGAGAGAACCUGAAAGAUACCAUGGACCGAAGCAUGGGCACAUGAAGUUCCUGUUGGGGAACGUAGUAAUUUCAAAAAAAUUCCUACGCACACGCAAGAUCAUGGUGAUGCAUAGCAACGAGAGGAGAGAGUAUGAUCUACGUACCCUUGUAGAUCGACAACGGAAGCGUUAACUUGGUUGAUGUAGUCGUACGUCUUCACGGCCCGGCCGAUCAAGCACCGAAACUACGGCACCUCCGAGAUCUAGCACACAUUCAGCUCGAUGACGAUCCCCGGACUCCGAUCCAGCAAAGUGUCGGGGAAGAGUUCCGUCAGCACGACGGCGUGGUGACGAUAUUGAUGUACUACCGUCGCAGGGCUUCGCCUAAGCACCGCUACAAUAUUAUCGAGGACUAUGGUGGAAGGGGGCACCGCACACGGCUAAGAAUAUGAUCACAUGGAUCAACUUGUGUCUCUAGGGGUGCUCCCUGCCUCCGUAUAUAAAGGCUCAAAGGGGGAGGGGUGGCCGGCCAAGAGGAGGCGCGCCAGGAGGAGUCCUACUCCCUCCAGGAGUAGGACUCCCCCCCUUUCCUAAUUGGAAUAGGAUUCGCGGAGGGGGGAAAGAGGAGAGAGAGGAGGAAGGGGGGGGCGACCCCCUCUCCUUGUCCUAUUUGGACCAAAGGGGGGAGGGGCGCGCGGCCCAUAUCUGGCCACCUCUCCUCUCUUCCACUAAGGCCCACUAAGGCCCAUAUACCUCCCGGGGGGUUCCGGUAACCUCCCGGUAAUCCGGUAAAAUCCCGAUUUCACCCGGAACACUUCCGAUAUCCAAAUAUAGGCUUCCAACAUAUCAAUCUUUAUGUCUCGACCAUUUCGAGACUCCUCGUCAUGUCCGUGAUCACAUCCGGGGCUCCGAACAAACUUCGGUACAUCAAAAUGCAUAAACUCAUAAUAUAACUGUCAUCGAAACCUUAAGCGUGCCGACCCUACGGGUUCGAGAACAAUGUAGACAUGACCGAGACACGUCUCCGGUCAAUAACCAAUAGCGGCACCUGGAUGCUCAUAUUGGAUCCUACAUAUUCUACGAAGAUCUUUUAUCGGUCAGACCGCAUAACAACAUACGUUGUUCCCUUUGUCAUCGGUAUGUUACUUGCCCGAGAUUCGAUCAUCGGUAUCCAAUACCUAGUUCAAUCUCGUUACCGGCAAGUCUCUUUACUCGUUCCGUAAUCCAUCAUCCCGCAACUAACUCAUUAGUCGCAAUGCUUGUAAGGCUUAUGUGAUGUGCAUUACCGAGAGGACCCAGAGAUACCUCUCCGACAAUCGGAGUGACAAAUCCUAAUCUCGAAAUACGCCAACCCAACAUGUACCUUUGGAGACACCUGUAGAGCUCCUUUAUAAUCACCCAGUUACGUUGUGACGUUUGGUAGCAUAAAAAGUGUUCCUCCGGCAAACGGGGGUUGCAUAAUCUCAUAGUCAUAGGAACAUGUAUAAGUCAUGAAGAAAGCAAUAGCAACAUACUAAACGAUCGGGUGCUAAGCUAAAGGAAUGGGUGAUGUCAAUCAGAUCAUUCAUCUAAUGAUGUGAUCCUGUUAAUCAAAUGACAACUCUUUGUCCGUGUUUAGGAAACAUAACCAUCUUUGAUUAACAAGCUAGUCUAGUAGAGGCAUACUAGUGACACUCUGUUUGUCUAUGUAUUCACGCAUGUAUUAUGUUUCCGGUUAAUACAAUUCUAGCAUGAAUAAUAAACUUUUAUCAUGAUAUAUAAGGAAAUAAAUAAUAACUUUAUUAUUGCCUCUAGGGCAUAUUUCCUUCAGUCUCCCACUUGCACUAGAGUCAAUAAUCUAGAUUACACAGUAAUGAUUCUAACACCCAUGGAGCCUUGGUGCUGAUCAUGUUUUGCUCGUGGAAGAGGCUUAGUCAACGGGUCUUCUACAUUCAGAUCCGUAUGUAUCUUGCAAAUCUCUAUGUCUCCCACCUGGACUAGAUCCCGGAUGGAAUUGAAGCGUCUCUUGAUGUGCUUGGUUCUCUUGUGAAAUCUGGAUUCCUUUGCCAAGGCAAUUGCACCAGUAUUGUCACAAAAGAUUUUCAUUGGACCCGAUGCACUAGGUAUGACACCUAGAUCGGAUAUGAACUCCUUCAUCCAGACUCCUUCAUUCGCUGCUUCCGAAGCAGCUAUGUAUUCCGCUUCACAUGUAGAUCCCGCCACGACGCUCUGUUUAGAACUGCACCAACUGACAGCUCCACCAUUUAAUGUAAACACGUAUCCGGUUUGCGAUUUAGAAUCAUCCGGAUUAGUGUCAAAGCUUGCAUCAACGUAACCAUUUACGAUGAGCUCUUUGUCACCUCCAUAUACAAGAAACAUAUCCUUAGUCCUUUUCAGGUACUUCAGGAUGUUCUUGACCGCUGUCCAGUGAUCCACUCCUAGAUUACUUUGGUACCUCCCUGCUAGACUUAUAGCAAUGCACACAUCAGGUCUGGUACACAGCAUUGCAUACAUGAUAGAGCCUAUGGCUGAAGCAUAGGGAACAUCUUUCAUUUUCUCUCUAUCUUCUGCAGUGGUCGGCCAUUGAGUCUGACUCAACUUCACACCUUGUAACACAGGCAAGAACCCUUUCUUUGCUUGAUCCAUUUUGAACUUCUUCAAAAUUUUGUCAAGGUAUGUGCUUUGUGAAAGUCCAAUUAAGCGUCUUGAUCUAUCUCUAUAGAUCUUUAUGCCUAAUAUGUAAGCAGCUUCACCAAGGUCUUUCAUUGAAAAACUCUUAUUCGAGUAUCCCUUUAUGCUAUCCAGAAAUUAUAUAUCAUUUCCAAUCAGUAAUAUGUCAUCCACAUAUAAUAUCAUAAAUGCUACAGAGCUCCCACUAACUUUCUUGUAAAUACAGGCUUCUCCAAAGGUCUGUAUAAAACCAAAUGCUUUGAUCACACUAUCAAAGCGUUUAUUCCAACUCCGAGAGGCUUGCACCAGUCCAUAAAUGGAUCACUGGAGCUUGCACAGUUUGUUAGCUCCCUUUGGAUCGACAAAACCUUCCGGUUGCAUCAUAUAAAACUCUUCUUCCAGAAAUCCAUUCAGGAAUGCAGUUUUGACAUCCAUCUGCCAAAUUUCAUAAUCAUAAAAUGCGGCAAUUGCUAACAUGAUUCGGACAGACUUAAGCAUCGCUACGGGUGAGAAGGUCUCAUCGUAGUCAACCCCUUGAACUUGUCGAAAACCUUUUGCGACAAGUCAAGCUUUGUAGACAGUAAUAUUACCGUCAGCGUCAGUCUUCUUCUUGAAGAUCCAUUUAUUCUCAAUUGCUUGCCGAUCAUCGGGCAAGUCAACCAAAGUCCAUACUUUGUUCUCAUACAUGGAUCCCAUCUCAGAUUUCAUGGCUUCAAGCCAUUUUUCGGAAUCUGGGCUCACCAUCGCUUCUUCAUAGUUCGUAGGUUCAUCAUGAUCUAGUAGCAUGACUUCCAGAACAGGAUUACCGUACCACUCUGGCGCGGAUCUUACUCUGGUUGAUCUACGAGGUUCAGUAGUAUCUUGUUCUGAAGUUUCAUGAUCAUUAUCAUUAGCUUCCUCACUAAUUGGUGUAGGUGUCGCAAAAACAGGUUUCUGUUAUGUGCUACUUUCCAAUAAGGGAGCAGGUACAGUUACCUCGUCAAGUUCUACUUUCCUCCCACUCACUUCUUUCGAGAGAAACUCCUUCUCUAGAAAGGAUCCAUUCUUAGCAACGAAUGUCUUGCCUUCGGAUCUGUGAUAGAAGGUGUACCCAACAGUCUCCUUUGGGUAUCCUAUGAAUACACAUUUCUCCGAUUUCGGUUCGAGCUUAUCAGGUUGAAGCUUUUUCACAUAAGCAUCGCAGCCCCAAACUUUAAGAAACGACAACUUUGGUUUCUUGCCAAACCAUAGUUCAUAAGGUGUCAUCUCAACGGAUUUUGAUGGCGCCCUGUUUAACGUGAAUGCGGCUGUCUCUAAAGCAUAACCCCAAAAUGAUAGCGGUAAAUUUGUAAGAGACAUCAUAGAUCGCACCAUAUCAAGUAAAGUACGAUUACGACAUUCGGACACACCAUUACGCUGAGGUGUUCCGGGUGGCGUGAGUUGCAAAACUAUUCCGCAUUGUUUCAGAUGUAGACCAAACUCGUAACUCAAAUAUUCUCCUCCACGAUCAGAUCGCAGAAACUUUAUUUUCUUGUUACGAUGAUUUUCAACUUCACUCUGAAAUUCUUUGAACUUUUCAAAUGUUUCAGACUUAUGCUUCAUUAAGUAGAUAUACCCAUAUCUGCUUAAAUCAUCUGUGAAGGUGAGAAAAUAACGAUAUCCGCCACGAGCCUCAACAUUCAUCGGACCACAUACAUCUGUAUGUAUGAUUUCCAACAAAUCUGUUGCUCUCUCCAUUGUAUCGGAGAAUGGUGUUUUAGUCAUCUUGCCCAUGAGGCACGGUUCGCAGGUACCAAGUGAUUCAUAAUCAAGAGGUUCCAAAAGUCCAUCUGUAUGGAGUUUCUUCAUGCGCUUUACACCGAUAUGACCUAAACGGCAGUGCCACAAAUGAGUUGCCCUAUCAUUAUCAACUCUGCAUCUUUUGGCUUCAACAUUAUGAAUAUGUGUGUUACUACUAUCGAGAUUCAUCAAAAAUAGACCACUCUUCAAAGGUGCAUGACCAUAAAAGAUAUCACUCAUAUAAAUAGAACAACCAUUAUUCUCUAAUUUAAAUGAAUAACCGUCUCGCAUUAAACAAGAUCCAGAUAUAAUGUUCAUGCUCAAUGCUGGCACCAAAUAACAAUUAUUUAGGUCUAAUACUAAUCCCGAAGGUAGAUGUAGAGGUAGCGUGCCGACCGCGAUCACAUUGACUUUAGAACCAUUUCCCACGCGCAUCGUCACCUCGUCCUUUGCCAGUGUUCGCUUAAUCCGUAGUCCCUGUUUCAAGUUGCAAAUAUUAGCAACAGAACCAGUAUCAAAUACCCAGGUGCUACUGCGAGCUCUAGUAAGGUACACAUCAAUAACAUGUAUAUCACUUAUACCUUUGUUCACCUUGCCAUCCUUCUUAUCCGCCAAAUACUUGGGGCAGUUCCGCUUCUAGUGACCAGUCUGCUUGCAUUAGAAGCACUCAAUUUCAGGCUUAGGUCCAGACUUGGGUUUCUUCUCCUGAUCAACAACUUGCUUGCUUUUCUUCUUGAAGUUCCCCUUCUUCUUCCCUUUGCCCUUUUUCUUGAAACUAGUGGUCUUGUUGACCAUCAACACUUGAUGCUCCUUCUUGAUUUCUACCUCCGCAGCUUUUAGCAUUGCGAAGAGCUCGGGAAUAGUCUUAUUCAUCCCUUGCAUAUUAUAGUUCAUCACAAAGCUCUUGUAGCUUGGUGGCAGUGAUUGGAGAAUUCUGUCAAUGACGCAAUCAUCUGGAAGAUUAACUCCCAUCUGAAUCAAGUGAUUAUUAUACCCAGACAUUUUGAGUAUAUGCUCACUGACAGAACUGUUCUCCUCCAUCUUGCAGCUAUAGAACUUAUUGGAGACUUCAUAUCUCUCAAUCCAGGCAUUUGCUUGAAAUAUUAACUUCAACUCCUGGAACAUCUCAUAUGCUCCAUGACGUUCAAAGCGUCGUUGAAGUCUCUAAGCCGUAAAGCAUGGCACACUGAACUAUCGAGUAGUCAUCAGCUUUGCUCUGCCAGACGUUCAUAACAUCUGGUGUUGCUCCAGCAGCAGGCCUGGCACCCAGCGGUGCUUCCAGGACGUAAUUCUUCUAUGCAGCAAUGAGGAUAAUCCUCAAGUUACGGACCCAGUCCGUGUAAUUGCUACCAUCGUCUUUCAACUUUGCUUUCUCAAGGAACGCAUUAAAAUUUAACGGAACAACAGCACGGGCCAUUUAUCUACAAUUAACAUAAACAAGCAAGAUACUAUCAGGAACUAAGUUCAUGAUAAAUUUAAGUUCAAUUAAUCAUAUUACUCAAGAACUCCCACUUAGAUAGACAUCCCUCUAAUCAUCUAAACCAUAACCGAUCAUCACGUGAAAUGGAGUAGUUUUCAGUGGUGAACAUCGCUAUGUUGAUCAUAUCUACUAUAUGAUUCACGCACGAUCUUUCGAUCUCAGUGUUCCGAGGCCAUAUCUGCAUAUGCUAGGCUCGUCAAGUUUAACCUGAGUAUUCUGCGUGUGCAAAACUGGCUUGCACCCGUUGUAGAUGGACGUAGAGCUUAUCACACCCGAUCAUCACGUGGUGUCUGGGCACAACAAACUUUGGCAACGGUGCAUACUCGGGGAGAACACUUUUAUCUUGAAAUUUAGUGAGAGAUCAUCUUAUAAUGCUACCGUCAAUCAAAGCAAGAUAAGAUGCAUAAAAGAUAAACAUCACAUGCAAUCAAUAUAAGUGAUAUGAUAUGGCCAUCAUCAUCUUGUGCUUGUGAUCUCCAUCCUCGAAGCACCAUCGUGAACACCAUUGUCACCAGCGCGACACCUUGAUCUCCAUCAUAGCAUCAUUGUCAUCUUGCCAAUCUUAUGCUUCUACGACUAUCGCUACCGCUUAGUGAUAAAGUAAAGCAUUACAGGGCGAUUGCGUUGCAUACAAUAAAGCGACAACCAUAUGGCUCCUGCCAGUUGCCGAUAACUCGGUUACAAAACAUGAUCAUCUCAUACAAUAAAAUUUAGCAUCAUGUCUUGACCAUAUCACAUCACAACAUGCCCUGCAAAAACAAGUUAGACGUCCUCUACUUUGUUGUUGCAAGUUUUACGUUGCUGCUGCGGGCUUAAGCAAGAACCAAUCUUACCUACGCAUCAAAACCACAAUGAUAGUUUGUCAAGUUGGUGCUGUUUUAACCUUCGCAAGGACCGGGCGUAGCCACACUCGGUUCAACUAAAGUUGGAGAAACUGCCACCCGCAAGCCACCUAUGUGCAAAGCACGUCGGGAGAACCGGUCUCGCGUAAGCGUACGCGUAAUGUCGGUCUGGGCCGCUUCGUCCAGCAAUACCGCCGAACCAAAGUAUGACAUGUUGGUAAGCAGUAUGACUUAUAUCGCCCACAACUCACUUGUGUUCUACUCGUGCAUAUAACAUCAACAUAUAAAACCUAGGCUCGGAUGCCACUGUUGGGGAACGUAGUAAUUUCAAAAAAAUUCCUACGCACACGCAAGAUCAUGGUGAUGCAUAGCAACGAGAGGGGAGAGUAUGAUCUACGUACCCUUGUAGAUCGACAACGAAAGCGUUAACUUCGUUGAUGUAGUCGUACGUCUUCACGGCCCGACCGAUCAAGCACUGAAACUACGGCACCUCCUAGUUCUAGCACACAUUCAGCUUGAUGAUGAUCCCCGGACUCCGAUCCAGCAAAGUGUCGGGGAAGAGUUCCGUCAGCACGACGGCGUGGUGACGAUCUUGAUGUACUACCGUCGCAGGGCUUCGCCUAAGCACCACUACAAUAUUAUCGAGGACUAUGGUGGAAGGGGGCACCGCACACGGCUAAGAAUAUGAUCACGUGGAUCAACUUGUGUCUCUAGGGGUGCUCCCUGCCUCCGUAUAUAAAGGCUCAAAGAGGGGGGCGGCCGGCCAAGAGGAGGCGCGCCAGGAGGAGUCCUACUCCCUCCGGGAGUAGGACUCCCCCCUUUCCUAAUUGGAAUAGGAUUCGCGGAGGGGGGAAAGAGGAGAGAGAGGAGGAAGGGGGGCCGGCCCCCUCUCCUUGUCCUAUUCGGACCACAGGGGGGAGGGGCGCGCGACCCAUCUCUGGCCACCUCUCCUCUCUUCCACUAAGGCCCACUAAGGCCCAUAUACCUCCCGGGGGGUUCCGGUAACCUCCCGGUAAUCCGGUAAAAUCCCUAUUUCACCCGGAACACUUCCGAUAUCCAAAUAUAGGCUUCCAACAUAUCAAUCUUUAUGUCUCGACCAUUUCGAGACUCCUCGUCAUGUCCGUGAUCACAUCUGGGACUCCGAACAAACUUCGGUACAUCAAAAUGCAUAAACUCAUAAUAUAACUGUCAUCGAAACCUUAAGCGUGCGGACCCUACGGGUUCGAGAACAAUGUAGACAUGAACGAGACACGUCUCCGGUCAAUAACCAAUAGCGGAACCUGGAUGCUCAUAUUGGCUCCUACAUAUUCUACGAAGAUCUUUUAUCAGUCAGACUGCAUAAGAACAUACGUUGUUCCCUUUGUCAUCGGUAUGUUACUUGCCCGAGAUUCGAUCGUCGGUAUCCAAUACCUAGUUCAAUCUCGUUACCGGCAAGUCUCUUUACUCGUUCCGUAAUCCAUCAUCCCGCAACUAACUCAUUAGUCGCAAUGCUUGCAAGGAUUAUGUGAUGUGCAUUACCGAGAGGGCCCAGAGAUACCUCUCCGACAAUCGGAGUGACAAAUCCUAAUCUCGAAAUAUGCCAACCCAACAUGUACCUUUGGAGACACCUAUAGAGCUCCUUUAUAAUCACCCAGUUACGUUGUGGCGCUUGGUAACACACAAAGUGUUCCUCCGGCAAACUGGAGUUGCAUAAUCUCAUAGUCAUAGGAACAUGUAUAAGUCAUGAAGAAAGCAAUAGCAACAUACUAAACGAUCGGGUGCUAAGCUAAUGGAAUGAGUCAUGUCAAUCAGAUCAUUCAUCUAAAGAUGUGAUCCUGUUAAUCAAAUGACAACUCUUUGUCCAUGGUUAGGAAACAUAACCAUCUUUGAUUAACAAGCUAGUCUAGUAGAGGCAUACUAGUGACAAUCUGUUUGUCUAUGUAUUCACACAUGUAUUAUGUUUCCGGUUAAUACAAUUCUAGCAUGAAUAAUAAACUUUUAUCAUGAUAUAUAAGGAAAUAAAUAAUAACUUUAUUAUUGCCUCUAGGGCAUAUUUCCUUCAGUUCCAACACCGAAGGGUAAGGAGACGGGCCCGCGUCAUUUACGUCCGGAAUAUGCGACCUUGAUUCUUUGUCGAUGGUGAUGCCAAGACUAUAGGAUAAGGUGGAUCCGGACACAUGAGCAGAUGAAGUGCCUGACACGAAGUUGGUUAAGGAGCUGGACCCAAGUCAUCUACACCGCAAAUUGGUCGAAGGUGUGCCGUGAAUGAUAGAUGUACUUGAGGGGGGAGAAAGCCUGUGAAAAGAACAUACGGUUGCUCGAUGAUGACACAUGUCUUGAGAGGAUGGCGAGAACCCUAGAUAUGGUUAAGGCACGCCACGAGAACAUCACCCCGGUCGCGAGAUUCUCAGUGGUGUGCGGCAACCGAAGCCAAAAGGGCACCCCCGCAAGACCUUGAAAUGCCAGAGCGGUGGGCGCACAAGCAAUGGUGAGGAAAAUCACAUAAGGUACCAAGCAAGGCCAUCCUGAUCAGGGCUCCAUUGCCAAGCUUAUGUCCACCACUGCGAUUCAGACAAACUUUCAACUGGCGUCUCUGUCUUCUCAAGAUUUCCAUGGUCCCAUCAGGAUGUAUAUAUGUACUUUGUUUAUUUUGAAAAUUAAUAUAUCACCAAAGAAAUUGUAGUACUUGUCAUUCUUUUAAUUACUUAGUAGUUUGCAUGAUAGACUCAAUCUUAUAUUUACUAAUUAGAGGCACCAAAUAAGCGACCACGUUAAUCCUCAAAAACUAAGAAUAUUAUCCAUCCGAUCUCCAUAUUAAGUAUCUGUAGCCGUCCAUUGGACAACUCAAGAGUCCUGGGUUACUAUCCCACGUCAUGCUCCAUGUAAUGUGAAAAAAAAAUCAUCUCCUUGGCCAAAUCCAUCCCACGUCAUGCUCCAUGUAAUGUGAAAAAAAGCAUCUCCCUGGCCAAAUUCUUCCUCCCCUGAUCUAUCAUGUGAGGCACUUGCGCAUCAUCCACAAAUCCCUAGCGCAAAUCCAUCCCACGUCAUGCUCCAUGUAAUGUGAAAAAAAUCAUCUCCCUGGCCAAAUUCUUCCUCCCCCGAUCUAUCAUGUGAGGCACUUGCGCAUCAUCCACAAAUCCCUAGCGCUGCUCUUCCAGGUCGUCCUCCUCCUUCCUAUCUUUUGUUGUCUUAAUGCAAAACGAUUCCGUGAGAUCCUUGUGAUCCUCUUCAUCUUCACGUAGAAAUCUGAACUGUCCCAACCACGCUGCAGAUCUGUGGUCCGUCUUGGACAAAGAGAAGGCCCUUUCAAUCUCCACAGAUGCCAUGCCCCAACCAAACCGCAACCCAUGAUAAACGAUGUUGUUGAGAAGGAGGCGCUACCUAAGUCUGAUCGGACAUAUGCCAUUGUUAGGGAAGCUACAAGUCGAAGAACUAUGGUAGACUGAUUGCGAGUAAUUAAGGAGCUAUCAACGAUCCAGUAGGUUUUUGUUAUUAGGAAUUUUUAUGUAGUGCGACUUGAUCUCAAAGAACAAGUACACCAUUAGAGUUCGUUUUGGAGGAUUUUGAUGAUGUGCGCUUAGUUACAGACUUAUCUAAAUACGUAUAACUAGGAUGGACAAUAUUUGUAGGAGCCAUACAAUCCAAUUAGGGGAUUUAGUUUGUCAAAGAUGUUUCCACAUAUCCCUAGCGCUGCUCUUCUAGGUUGCCCCCUGCUUCCUAUCUACGGUCUUCAAGUAAAGCGAUUUAAUGAGUCUCUUGCUGCAGAAAUUUCAACUGCCACAAGAAGGCUGCAGACCUGCGGUUCAUCUUGGCUGAGGUGUCAUACAAUCCAGUUAAGGGAUUCCAUUCAUUGAAGAUGUGGCUGUACUUUCGCACAACAAACUCAAGCACAUCUUCUUAUGUUCUUAGAAACUAGAUGAGUUGUUUUGGACUUUCUUUGGUCUACUCCUCUAUGCUUCUUAUUGGGAAAGUUAGUAUGCAAAAGUUAUGCCCAUCUUCUUAAAUUCGGAUGUAACUUUUCGAGUAGAUGAUUUUUCAUAUAAAAAACUUUUUCAUCCGAGUUAGUAUGCAAAAGUUAUGCCCAUUUUUACAAAUUUCAGAGAGAUUUUGCAAAUAAAGUGAAAAUUCAGAUUUGCAAAUUUUCCCAACAAGUAGACCACAUAUCACAUGGGAAACUUAUUUUCUUUUAUUUUUUUUGACAUUUCCAUCAUUUUCUUUUAUUUUUUUAAAACUGAAAAGGCGAUCCACAUGGGGGGGGGUAGAGUUUGAAAAUGGGACCUUUAGUACUGGUUCGUGGCACGAACCGGGACUAAAGGUCUCAACCCCAUUAGUCCCGGUUCAUGCCUCAAACCGGGACUAAAGGUCUAAUCGUUAGUCCCGGUUUGAGGCACGAACCGGGACCAAUGGUUUUGUGCCAGGAGCGAGGCCCAUUGGUCCCGGUUCAUCCCACCAACCGGGACCAAAAGGUCCAGAUGAACCGGGACCAAUGGCCCACGUGGCCCGGCCGGCCCCCUGGGCUCACGAACCGGGACCAAUGCCCCCGUUGGUCCCGGUUCUGGACUGAACCGGGACUAAUGGGCUGACCCGGCCUGGACCAAAGCCCUGUUUUCUACUAGUGAGUCCAAUCUUGUGUUUAUUCCUCCAUGUCGGCAAAGAGUCAGUAGUCAAUCACCAAGCAAAAUUGCGCACAGUGGGGGGUACAUCACAUCUCCAUAUAUAUUGCCAGCAUUUUCUACUACCAUCUGGCGAUGUGCUAGAUGCCUCUACAGUAUUUCUGUGAGCUACUUCAAAAGCCAGCAUAUAUGCUGAUUUGACCGUGAAGACAUCGAGCUUCCCCGGCCCCCAUGCAAUCACAUCCUCACCUAAUCUUGGAGAUGCCCAUAUCUUUAAGAUUUCUUCCACAUCAGCUGAUAAGAAGUACUGCUGAAGAAGUACCAAGUUCCAAGAACCAUUAUCAUUUAGCAAGUCGGAGACAAAACGAAUGCGACAUCUUCCCUGCAGCGACACAGGUUUGUACGAAAAGGGCCUUGGAAUCCAGUUAUCUCUCCCCUUUGUUGGUAGUCAGAGUCACUAGGACAACUAACUGUGUUAGCAUCUAGAGUUGUAACAAGCCACAGUCCGCCUAUCUUGGUUGCACAGCGAUGAUGCUACCAUCUCCUACGACAAAGUACAUGCCUUGCACCGGAAACAGCGCAACCAUAUGACAUCUAUCCGAGUGGGCGACCACGUGGUGACCGGGCAUGAGGCCAUGGCUGAGGCCGCCUACAACCACUUCUCCGAUGUGCUCGGAAGUGCCAUGGAGCAUGACAUCACGCUUGAUCUCCGCGUUUUGCGUGUUCAACACAAUGCUACUCCGUGCGGUGGACCUAGGCCUUCUUCGACGCCUUACAACUCGGCACGCGGCCUCGAGUAUAUCGCUAUACGCGGACGAUGUUGUCAUCUUUUGUCACCCGGAUAGCCACCACAUUACCACCGUGUGAACCAUCCUACACAUAUUCGGGCUUCAUACAAACUUCGCCAAGUGUUCUGCCACCCCGAUCCGGUGCGAUGAUGACAACAACAUGAUGAUCACAUCUGAGAUGCAGUGCCCCAUAGCCCAAUUCCCCAUCACAUACCUCGGUUUGCCUCUCUCUAUCUGCAAGGCCUCCACGACUAGCUUGCUCCCAAUCAUUGACAAGAUCGGCCACAAGCUCUCCACUUGGCAUGCUUCCAUGAUGUCCAACGGGCAACGGCGACUGCCUUGCUCUCGUGCAUCACGUACUUAGUGCUAUCCCGACAUACUUCCUCACCACCUUUGCUCUCAACCAAUCCAUCCUCGUGAAAUUCAACCGCAUCAUCCGCGGAUUCCUUUGGGCGGGAGGCACCGAAGGCAAUGGGGGUCAGUGUCAUGUUAACUGACAGCAAGUUUGCAGGCCAAUCUCUCUUGGCGGUCUUAGCAUCAGGGACAUUCAAAGGACCGGCAUCACCCUCUGUGCAUGGUUGCUUUGGUUACAGUGCACCGACCCCUUGCAACCCUCGAGCCACUUACACAUACCUCACGACCCAGACGUGACUGCCAUCUUCAGCGCAUCUAGGACCUGGGAUCUUGGGUCCGGCGUCACCUGCAGAUUCUGGUCCGACCACUUGAUAGAGGGUAGAUCCGUGGUUGAGAUCCCCCCAGUCCUCGCCUCGUCCCUCGACGCCGACGCAAGACUCGCACCGUUCACGAGGGCCUCCACCUUAGAGCCUGGGUGCAAGAGAUUCAUGGAGCACUCGGACCGACGGCCAUGUUGCAAUAUGUUGAUCUUGAGCGACGUGUGCGCCACAUUGACCAGAUGAGCCGGAUACACUCAAAUGGCGCUGGACCGCCUCCGCUAUGAAAUGUCUAUGAUGGGAGAAUUUAAAUUCUUCUUAGGCCUUCAAAUUCUUCAACAGCGCAAUGGCAUCUUCAUAUUUCAGGAGAAAUACCUCAAGGAUGUAUUGUGGAAAUUCGGCAUGAAAGAUUGCAAAGGCGUCAAAAUCCCUAUGCCCACAAAUGGCCAUCUAUGCACUGAUGAAAAUGGUAUUGACUUUGAUCAAAAGGUAUACCGCUCCAUGAUUGGUUCUUUAUUGUAUUUAUGUGCAUCUAGGCCAGAUAUUAUGCUCAGUGUUUGCAUGUGUGCCCGAUUUCAACCUACACUGAAGGAAUCACACCAUAAGGCUGUGAAGCAUAUUCUUCGUUAUCUAGCUCACACACCAACACUUGGAUAUGGUAUCCCAAGGGCUCGGCUUUUGAUCUCAUUGGGUACUCACUCUGACUAUGCGGGUGAUCCUGUGGACCGCAAGUCAACAUCAGGCACAUGCCAUUUCCUCAGGCGAUCCUUGGUCUGUUGGUCCUCGAAGAAACAGAACUGCGUAUCACUGUCUACUGCUGAAGCUGAGUACAUUGCUGCUGGUUCUUGCUGUUCUCAAUUUCUAUGGAUGAAUCAAACCCUCAAGGACUACUACGUCAAUGUAAAGAAUGUGCCUCUCUACUAUGACAAUGAGAGUGCCAUCAAGAUUGCUCAUAACCCACUUCAGCAGUCGAAGACAAAGCACAUUCAAAUUUGUCAUCAUUUUCUUCGUGAUCAUGUGUUGAAGGGCGACAUUUCUAUUGAGCAUGUGAAGACUGGAGAACGGCUAGCCGGUAUCUUCACAAAGCCUUUGGAUGAGAAGAGAUUUAGCAAGUUGCGGUGUGAGCUAAAUAUCCUAGAAUCUUCGAAUGUCCUUUGAAAAGGACACACAUCCUAACACUUGUGCAAAGUUGAUGACUUAGACGUGCAACACACGAAGAAACGUUUUUCUUCAUUCAAUGAAGAUUAACACUCUAAGUGUGAAGAAAUUAACAAAGAAUUUGAUUCUCAGAGCCCUUCGACAAUUGUACAUGGUGUUUGAAAUCAUCAUUCUUAUACGGUGGGUCACGCCACCACCAAAAGUUGAAAAUCUUGAAUUUGAGUUUUUACUCAUUUUUGAAUUUCCUCAGUUGUUCAAAUUCUUCAACCCAUCCCACCUUAUCUUCUCAUACCCACUCCCCCCAAUUCCCUCUCUAUCUCUCCCGCAACCUCCCUUGCGCGGACGCCGCCAAACCACCACCUCCCCUGUGCCGCCGCGCCGCGACCUCCUCUGCGCCGCCGCGCCGCAACCUCCUCUCUGCGGCCGAGUCUGCUCCCCGGCGAUUCCCGAUCCACAACUGCCCCCAUUGCCCUUGCCUUCCUCUGCGCGCCGCCGCUCUAGGUCGCGUCCACCGCGUUCCACCACCACCAGCACAUCAGUACGGCGGUAGUGCGGCCCCGCUUCCGUUCCUCCAUGGCCGACCCCCUACCUCCCACCUUCUCCCUCCCGCCCCGAUCGACAACCUCCAUCACCGCCCCGGUCGUGUUGCCCCUCCCGACCCCGCGCCGCCGGAUCCGGGCAACCACGCCGGCGUGCCCUUCCACAAGCUUUCCCGUCGUGACCCUACCACGAGCUGCUCCAGCCCGACCCUGCUUCUUUAACAACGGCACGGUGGCAACUCCCCUUAGUUCACUCCUGCACCGGGGUCGCGAGCUCCGUUCACGGGCUCGCUGGAUCUCGUGAUUGGGGCGCUGGCGACGUGCUCUCCUACUCCACCGCGCCCCUCCUCUACUUCAGCUCCUAUGCCUGUGCCUCUCGUGGACUCAUCGGCGCACAGGCCGCUCUGGAUCCACGCUGGUUCGAGGCCCUGACGGCCUCCUCUUCCUGCUAAGUCACCGAGAUCCAUCGGGGUAUCAAGUUGUUUUGUCGGCCCAAUACUCCUUCUACCUUCCCUUGCCGGCGGUCGUGCAACUUCGGUGAACACCGCUACUCGCGCGCGGAUGACGACGGCGCAGUGGCACUGCAGUUCGCUUUGCAGGGGAUCCGUUGAUGCGGCCGUGGAGUUCGGCCCACAGGUGCAUGAAGUUAUCUUGCCCCCUCCCACAGUUUACCCUUCCGCAUGAGCCCCAUGCCAUAGUCCAUUGGGAAGAAGCUCGUGGUGCGGAUGUGCGGAUGCUCAGUGACAGUGCUGGUGUGUUUCAGAUUUUGUUUUUCUGCAAUUUGUAGGCGACGCUGGAGCAUUGCAGUUCAUUGGCUCGGGGCGAGCAGUGGAGAGGACACACGUGCGUGCAGUUCCCUGUCCAUUGAAAAUGUAGAAGCCCAUCUUGCUGCAAUGUAUGUGAGCAUAUGGCCUGCAAGUGAUGCUCUUUUCCCAGAUUGAAAACAUUGCAAUGUGGUUGGCUGGCCAUCGACGUGCACUUCGCUUUGGGGGGCAGUACGUUCUUUGUGGACGCGCACUUCGUUCGGCCCGAGCGGCAUGAAGCUCCGUUUGCGCGCAUGUGUGGCUUGGCUAACUAGUUUGUGCAGUCGCAUGAUACCUUUAUUAUGUGAUGCCUCCCUAGUUGCUGGAGUUCACUUCUUUGUAUUUAUUGAAACAUCAUGUAGUGCACUGUGAAACUCUCUGUUGUUCACUUGUAAAAACAAAUAGCGGUUCCCUUUGUAAAAAAAAGUGCAGCCCCUUAGUGGUUCACCUUGUAGAAAAUGAGAAAGAAAUCCCCAUGGGAGGUUCACUUCUUUUUCUAAUGCAAUUUGUUUUGUUUGUGGGAUGAUUGAAAAAAGAAGUUCACUCCACUUGUUUAGCAGCUCAUACCCCUUUGUAUGAAAUGCAAUUUGUUUCGUGUGUCUCAAAAUCAGUCGACUAC
RNAcentral lists this long non-coding RNA (40591 nucleotides) under Triticum aestivum (bread wheat). Its description in RNAcentral is "long non-coding RNA (TAES_LNC002192)". The stretch from base 18330 to 18464 matches the Rfam family "MIR1120/MIR1122 microRNA precursor family". Lineage: Eukaryota; Viridiplantae; Streptophyta; Magnoliopsida; Poales; Poaceae. The record is from RNAcentral.